AACUUCCUCGGAUAACUGUGGAAAAUCCAGAGCUAAUACGUGCAACUGAGCUCCGACCUGGACGUGAGUCUUGGAAAGAGCGCAUUUAUUAGAUUCAAAACUGACCGGCGUACUCCUUCGGGAUGGGCCGUUUGUCAAAAGAUUGAUGACUCCGGAUAACUUAGCCGAGCGCUACGGUCCUUGUACCGGCGCCGUAUCUUUCAAGUGUCUGCCUUAUCAGCUUUCGAUUGUAGGUUAAACGCCUACAAUGGCUGUAACGGGUAACGGGGAAUCAGGGUUCGAUUCCGGAGAGGGAGCCUGAGAAACGGCUACCACAUCUAAGGAAGGCAGCAGGCACGCAAAUUACCCACUCCCAGCCCGGGGAGGUAGUGACGAAAAAUAACGAUGCGAGACUCUUCCGAGGCCUCGCAAUCGGAAUGAGUCCAUUUUAAAUCCUUGGACGAGGAUCCCUUGGAGGGCAAGUCUGGUGCCCACCGCGGAAUUCCAGCUCCAUACGAUAUUAAAGUUGCUGCGGUUAAAAAGCUCGUAGUUGGACUUCCUAGAUCCAUUUCGCGAGCGGGUCGCUCGUAAGCUAGCGUUUCGCGCCAGUCACUCUAACGAAGCUCUCGAACGUCGGUGCGUUAGCGAGUUUUUUUCGCAGGCGAGUUCGGCUUUCGGGUCGGGUUCCGUCUCGCAUUAAUCUCUCGCGCGCGUCGUUACGCCCGGGAUCGCCGAGUGGGGCGGACGGCGAAGCGUUGUCUUCGAGUAUCGCUCGUUCGCGUUUGGUACAAUUAAAAUUUUGUCGGCUCGCUCGGAGUGCUCUUUACCGAGUGUUCCAGGGUGGCCGACACGUUCACUUUGAAAAAAUUAGAGUGCUUAAAGCGGGCUUAUACGCGGCCUGAAUGUCUGUGCAUGGAAUGAAGUAACAGGACCUCGAUUCUGUUGUUUUUUGUCGGUUUUAUUGAACCGAGGUAAUGAUUAAAAGGGACAGACGGUGGCAUUAGUAUUGCGGCGCUAGAGGUGAAAUUCUUGGACCGCUGCAAGACUAACUACUGCGAAAGCAUUUGCCGAGAAUGUUUUCAUUAAUCAAGAACGAAAGUUAGAGGAUCGAAGGCGAUCAGAUACCGCCCUAGUUCUAACCCUAAACUAUGCUAACUAGCGAUCCGCCGGAGUCAUUCCCACGACCCGGCGGGAAGCCCCAGGGAAACCAAAGUCUUUGAGUUCCGGGGGAAGUAUGGUUGCAAAGCUGAAACUUAAAGGAAUUGACGGAAGGGCACCACCAGGAGUGGAGCCUGCGGCUUAAUUUGACUCAACACGGGAAACCUCACCAGGCCCGGACAUCAUAAGGAUGACAGGUUGAGAGCUCUUUCUCGAUUUGAUGGGUGGUGGUGCAUGGCCGUUCUUAGUUGGUGGAGUGAUCUGUCUGGUUGAUUCCGAUAACGAACGAGACUCUACCCUACUAACUAGUCGGCGGAUCGUAACCCUGAGAUGGUUAGUUUGUUGGAUGGCGGUUGGUCGAGACGUACGUUUAGCGCUGGCGUUUCCUCGGGUGCGAGUCGCGUGUGGGUCGUGCUUCGGUGCGAUUUCGCGCGCGGCCGCUCGGGCGUUGCGCUUGUCGCGGCCUCGUCGAAGCUACCGUCUGAUUACUGCUACUGCUGGGGGCGUCCGUCGCAAUGUAUCUUCUUAGAGGGAUCAGCGGCGUAUAGCCGCACGAGAAAGAGCAAUAACAGGUCUGUGAUGCCCUUAGAUGUUCUGGGCCGCACGCGCGCUACAAUGUAGAGACCAGCGUGCUUUCCCCCUCCGAAAGGAGCGGGUAACCCGUUGAAACCCCUACCCGAUUGGGAUUGGGGAUUGCAAAUAUUUCCCAUAAACGAGGAAUUCCCAGUAAGCGCGAAUCAUUAGUUCGCGCUGAUUACGUCCCUGCCCUUUGUACACACCGCCCGUCGCUACUACCGAUUGAAUGAUUCAGUGAGGGCAUCGGACUGGCGCCUUCGGUUUAGUAACCUAGACCUUAGGCUGACGGAAAGAUGUCCGAACUUGAUCAUUAGAGGAAGUAAAAGU
This 2040-nucleotide ribosomal RNA is filed under the name Syneurycope heezeni. RNAcentral's name for it is "SSU rRNA". It matches the Rfam family "Eukaryotic small subunit ribosomal RNA". Lineage: Eukaryota; Metazoa; Arthropoda; Malacostraca; Isopoda; Munnopsidae. The record is from RNAcentral.